UAAUACCGCAUACGAUCUACGGAUGAAAGCGGGGGACCUUCGGGCCUCGCGCUAUAGGGUUGGCCGAUGGCUGAUUAGCUAGUUGGUGGGGUAAAGGCCUACCAAGGCGACGAUCAGUAGCUGGUCUGAGAGGACGACCAGCCACACUGGGACUGAGACACGGCCCAGACUCCUACGGGAGGCAGCAGUGGGGAAUUUUGGACAAUGGGCGCAAGCCUGAUCCAGCAAUGCCGCGUGUGUGAAGAAGGCCUUCGGGUUGUAAAGCACUUUUGUCUGGAAAGAAAACCUUGGCUCUAAUACAGCCGGGGGAUGACGGUACCGGAAGAAUAAGCACCGGCUAACUACGUGCCAGCAGCCGCGGUAAUACGUAGGGUGCGAGCGUUAAUCGGAAUUACUGGGCGUAAAGCGUGCGCAGGCGGUUCGCUAAGACCGAUGUGAAAUCCCCGGGCUCAACCUGGGAACUGCAUUGGUGACUG
This 476-nucleotide ribosomal RNA is filed under the name uncultured Burkholderia sp. Its description in RNAcentral is "bacterial SSU rRNA". It matches the Rfam family "Bacterial small subunit ribosomal RNA", at positions 164 to 635 of the family's 1533-position model. The record is from RNAcentral. Lineage: Bacteria; Pseudomonadati; Pseudomonadota; Betaproteobacteria; Burkholderiales; Burkholderiaceae.